This 393-nucleotide ribosomal RNA is filed under the name uncultured Chrysophyceae. RNAcentral's name for it is "partial small subunit ribosomal RNA". It matches the Rfam family "Eukaryotic small subunit ribosomal RNA", at positions 30 to 432 of the family's 1831-position model. Lineage: Eukaryota; Chrysophyceae. The record is from RNAcentral.
GCUUGUCUCAAGAUUAAGCCAUGCAUGUCUAAGUGUAAAUAAGUCUAUACUGUGAAACUGCGAAUGGCUCAUUAAAUCAGUUAUAGUUUAUUUGAUGGUUCAUACUACUUGGAUAACCGUAGUAAUUCUAGAGCUAAUACAUGCGUCAAAACCCAACUUCUGGGAGGGUUGUAUUUAUUAGAUGGAAACCAAUGCGGGGCAACCCGGUAUAUGGUGAUUCAUAAUAACUUUCGGAUCGAUCUUCGGAUCGAUGCAUCAUUCAAGUUUCUGCCCUAUCAGCUUUGGAUGGUAGGGUAUUGGCCUACCAUGGCUUUAACGGGUAACGGAGAAUUAGGGUUCGAUUCCGGAGAGGGAGCCUGAGAAAUGGCUACCACAUCCAAGGAAGGCAGCAGG